GCCUAAAGCGUCCGUAGCCGGCUUUGUAAGUUUUCGGUUAAAUCUAUAUGCUCAACAUAUAGGCCGCCGGGAAUACUGCAAAGCUAGGGAGUGGGAGAGGUAGACGGUACUCCGUAGGAAGGGGUAAAAUCCUUUGAUCUAUGGAUGACCACCUGUGGCGAGGGCGGUCUACCAGAACACGUUCGACGGUGAGGGAUGAAAGCUGGGGGAGCAAACCGGAUUAGAUACCCGGGUAGUCCCAGCUGUAAACUAUGCAAACUCAGUGAUGCAUUGGCUUGUGGCCAGUGCAGUGCCGCAGAGAAGUCGUUAAGUUUGCCGCCUGGGAAGUACGUACGCAAGUAUGAAACUUAAAGGAAUUGGCGGGGGAGCACCACAAGGGGUGAAGCCUGCGGUUCAAUUGGAGUCAACGCCAGAAAUCUUACCCGAAGAGACAGCAGGAUGAAGGUCAAGCUGAAGACUUUACCAGACAAGCUGAGAAGUGGUGCAUGGCCGUCGCCAGCUCGUGCCGUGAGGUGUCCUGUUAAGUCAGGUAACGAGCGAGAUCCUUGCCUCUAGUUGCUACCAUUACUCUCAGGAGUAGUGGGGCGAAUUAGCGGGACUGCCGUAGUUAAUACGGAGGAAGGAGGGGGCCACGGCAGGUCAGUAUGCCCCGAA
RNAcentral lists this ribosomal RNA (654 nucleotides) under uncultured archaeon. Its description in RNAcentral is "bacterial SSU rRNA". It matches the Rfam family "Archaeal small subunit ribosomal RNA", at positions 508 to 1160 of the family's 1478-position model. The record is from RNAcentral.